GGGUCGUGGAGGAGGGCCUCGGCCAGCCCGACCCGCUGGCGAUAGCCCCGGGAGAGAUGGCCGAUGAUCCGGUCCUCGACGUCCCCC
This 87-nucleotide transfer RNA is filed under the name Aquisphaera giovannonii. Its description in RNAcentral is "tRNA-Val". The record is from RNAcentral. Lineage: Bacteria; Pseudomonadati; Planctomycetota; Planctomycetia; Isosphaerales; Isosphaeraceae.